UGCCUCCUCCAAUUUUGUAAGACAUGUUAGCUAGGUUAUUCCUGGGAUUAUUAUAUUGAGGUAAAAAAUAUAUAUACACACACAUAUAUAUGUAAUUUGCUGCAGUAUAAAGAAAUUCAAAUAAAAGUCUAAAAUAGUACCUGGUUCCAUGAAAAAGCUUAAACCAUCUUAACUCAGCUUUAAAUAAAUAUAUAUAUGGAAAAAACUGCAUGAAAGAAGUGAAAUAUUAGGCAGAAUUCUUCCUUUCCAUCUACUCAUGAAAGACCUGGUGGAGAAAUUGAAUGUCAGUUUGCAGGAUUUACAUUUUUGAACAGUUAUAAUGAAUCCAUCUCUGUCCACUGAGCUGUUUCUAGGAGGUUUCGGACAUACUGACACAUGUGGCAUUGUAGUCACCUCCAGCUGACCCAGUGAUUGAUUUCAGAGGAGCCCUUAGGUUCUGUAGCACACACCAUUUUGAAAUCUGCUGCAUUCUGUACAUUGAAAAGCCUCCACUUACACAUACUUUUCUGCAGACUUAUAUUCCCAGAUGAGGCAGCAACAAAUUUCAGGCUCUUUGCCCCUUUUAGUGACAAAGUAUGGAAUUCAUCCCUUUGAGAAGCCAUCCUGAGACUAUCUAUGGAUUUUGAUAAUAAGAAUUCUGAUGAUUUUGCUGUAGCAAUAUGCCUAACUCUUUGCCCCUGGACUACCUUGGAGAAAGAUAAGGGAUAAAAGAUAUCAAUGCUCCAGGGUCCUGGCGAUGCCAGUAAAAUGAUUCAGAGUUGAAGAAAAUACUUACUGAUUCUUUUUAGGUAAAUUUGAUCUGCAAAACAAUUACCACCUUACCUUUGGCCAGCCUUGACAGCAGACUGUCCAUCUUGCUCUGAUGUCCUUUGCCUCUCAUUCCUUAACACUCCUCUUGUGUUAGGAAGCUCACAAGGAGCAAGUGAUUAGCUUCAUUCCAUAUCAAUCCCCCAGUUUUUCUUCCAGUUUCAAAGCUUGUGAAGGAGGGUUGAGUUUAUAAUCAUGUCUCGACUUUAAGACAUUGUUCUAAAGACAGUCUUUCCUUACAAUUUUCUUUGAAUUUUUAGUCAUCUCAUCAGUUAAUAUAUAGUCAUCAUUUUCC
This 1102-nucleotide long non-coding RNA is filed under the name Marmota monax (woodchuck). Lineage: Eukaryota; Metazoa; Chordata; Mammalia; Rodentia; Sciuridae. The record is from RNAcentral.